CUCCUCAAUCAUAGUACAUUCGACAUGCAAAGAAAUAUAGCCUGGUGAGUGCUAAAGAAUACUUCAAUCUUCUAUUUUUCACCAGCUCAGCACAAGGCAGAACCCAGUCAUCAAAUCUUAUGAUGAAGAAUGGAUUAGAUUUUCCUGAUUGCAGAGAUCACGCCUUAAGUGAAACUUUUAAAAUGACUUCCUAUCAUUCUUUGCAGUAAUUUUUUUAUUUCCUUCCUUCCUUCCUUCUUUCAACCUUCCCUCCCUUCCUCCCUUUUUUCCUCCAUUCCUCCCUCCCUCAGUCCCUCUCUUCCUUCCUUCCCUGUGCAUUCAGUGCUACUAAAUGCCACACCCUGUUCGAGGUGAAGCAGCAGCAAAGCCAGUCUUGUCUUUCUCCGUGGAGCUUGCCUUCUGCUGUAGACGUGGUGAGAGAUUUUACGUGCUGGCUAACUCUGGCCCCAAGCAAUCGUCCCCACCCGAAGAGAACCCAAUGCAGAGACCCUGGGGAAGACAGGCGGCUUUUCUUCCUGUGUCCUGGAGAGAACUGAUGGAUGAGGCCUGGGAAGGUGGCUGCUGGCGGCUGGCCCAGGGCUGUAUGAGCACCCGGCCACCUGAUUCACCUCAGAGCUACAGCUCGCCUGGUGCAGCAGGAGGACAGGCUGUAAAUAUGGCUCAGCGUCCCCAAAGCCCAGGAGAAACGACACUAUUUAUACCGAGGACCCAGCUUGAAAAUUGCUCUUGGGGAACUUAAGUUUUGACUCAAAGGAAGAUCAAUAUUUCAGUAACAACUUUUCCAUGGAAUUUAAGAAUAAUUAUGUUCAAUGCUCUGCCCUAACUGUCCACUGUGUUCUAUGAAUAGCUUAGGGAUGAAAAAGUUACGCUGUUUGCAUAAAAUCAGAACCCACGAUAAUUCAAGACAAAAUCGCUUGUAGUAAUAAACAGAAAAGUAUGGGAGAUGUCUUCUUGAAGUACAUAAACUUGCAAGAAGAAAAGUGUAUUUUUGGAUUGAAACAUGCAUUUAUUGCUUAAUAAAAAUUUGAUGAAUAAACUUUUUUCCUUUUACUUUUCCCCCAAAC
This 1064-nucleotide long non-coding RNA is filed under the name Fukomys damarensis (Damara mole-rat). RNAcentral describes it as "lncRNA (ENSFDAG00000021694.1)". Lineage: Eukaryota; Metazoa; Chordata; Mammalia; Rodentia; Bathyergidae. The record is from RNAcentral.